GGCCCAAUGGUCUAGACGUAUGAUACACGCUUCGGGAUGUCCCGCUUACCUGUGUAAGCCAUUUGUGUGUGGUCCCGGGUUCAAUUCCCGGUUGGGCCC
This is a non-coding RNA of Mycena filopes, 99 nucleotides long. NCBI's taxonomy places the organism in Eukaryota, Fungi, Basidiomycota, Agaricomycetes, Agaricales, Mycenaceae. The record is from the annotation of a GenBank genome assembly.